RNAcentral lists this ribosomal RNA (500 nucleotides) under uncultured bacterium. Its description in RNAcentral is "bacterial SSU rRNA". It matches the Rfam family "Bacterial small subunit ribosomal RNA", at positions 418 to 916 of the family's 1533-position model. The record is from RNAcentral.
GUGGGUUGUAAACUGCUUUUAUUCGGAAGAGUAAGGCACACGUGUUUCCUGGUGACGGUACCGUAAGAAUAAGGAUCGGCUAACUCCGUUCCAGCAGCCGCGGUAAUACGGAGGGUCCGAGCGUUAUCCGGAAUUAUUGGGUUUAAAGGGUCCGCUGGCUGGCAUUUAAGUCAGGGGUGAAAUGUUGCGGCUUAGCCGUAGCACUGCCCUUGACGCUGGUUGUCUUGAGUAAUAGUGAAGUGGCCGGAAUAUGUAUUGAAGCGGUGAAAUGCAUAGAUUUUACAUAGAACAACAAUAGCGAAGGCAGUUCUCUAACUAUCGAAUGACGCUGAUGGACGAAAGCGUGGGGAGCGAACGUGAUUAGAUACCCCGGUUGUCCACGCCGUAAAAGAUGGAUUCUAGCUGUCCGGCACCUUGAGUGCUGGGCGGCUAUGCGAAAGUUAUAAGUAUCCCCCCUGGGGAGUAUGUUUGCAGGAAGGGAAAUAGGGAGGGAAUGUCGG